ACAUCUUUAAUCAUCUUCAAGUGCACCAACUUCGAGAGCAGUAUUAUGGCUGUGUCUUGGUGUGGGGAGAGACCUGGAUCUAUAGCAAAUGGAUUUACAUCUGUAUCAGAGAGAUGAGAGACACUGAGUGUCAUAAAUACUAAUUGAUAGAAGAGUAAAAUGGUGCUUUGGAACUGACAUCAAACCAAAAGUCAAAACAUUAUUCUGACUGAAUCAAUGCAUCAUGUCCUGUGGCUGCCUGCAAUGUGAUUGUGUACCCCCGUGCGACCCAUGACAAGUCUGGCUUGUUUUGCAGUGUGGUAACGCACACGUCUGGUAUUGAGACUGAUGAAAUCACAGCCUUGCUUCUUCCCCAGGCUGUGCUCUCUUUUGCUUAACUUCUGCAGCUGUGAGGCUUCAACCUCAGCAGCACCUGCCAUGGUUGCCCUCAGUGCACUCCUGGUUACUACACCAACCUCAUCAGCCUGUUACUUCCUCAAUUA
Molecule: long non-coding RNA, 482 nt
Organism: Gallus gallus (chicken)
Lineage: Eukaryota; Metazoa; Chordata; Aves; Galliformes; Phasianidae
Exons: 3
Source: RefSeq, a predicted model, not a curated record